This 253-nucleotide ribosomal RNA is filed under the name uncultured bacterium. Its description in RNAcentral is "partial 16S ribosomal RNA". It matches the Rfam family "Bacterial small subunit ribosomal RNA", at positions 524 to 776 of the family's 1533-position model. The record is from RNAcentral.
UACGGAGGGGACUAGCGUUGUUCGGAAUUACUGGGCGUAAAGCGCACGUAGGCGGAUUUGUAAGUCAGUGGUGAAAGCCCAAGGCUCAACCUUGGAACUGCCAUUGAAACUGUCGAGCUGGAAUCUCAGAGGGGGUAGCGGAAUUCCAAAUGUAGGGGUGAAAUCCGUAGAUAUUUGGAGGAACACCGGUGGCGAAGGCGGCUACCUGGAUGAGUAUUGACGCUGAGGCUCGAAAGCGUGGGGAUCAAACAGG